This 236-nucleotide ribosomal RNA is filed under the name Salmonella enterica subsp. enterica serovar Oranienburg. RNAcentral's name for it is "partial 23S ribosomal RNA". It matches the Rfam family "Bacterial large subunit ribosomal RNA", at positions 1 to 228 of the family's 2925-position model. RNAcentral also lists the same sequence under 2 other names. Lineage: Bacteria; Pseudomonadati; Pseudomonadota; Gammaproteobacteria; Enterobacterales; Enterobacteriaceae. The record is from RNAcentral.
GGGUUGUGAGGUUAAGCGACUAAGCGUACACGGUGGAUGCCCUGGCAGUCAGAGGCGAUGAAGGGCGUGCUAAUCUGCGAUAAGCGCCGGUAAGGUGAUAUGAACCGUUAUAACCGGCGAUACCCGAAUGGGGAAACCCAGUGUGACUCGUCACACUAUCAUUAACUGAAUCCAUAGGUUAAUGAGGCGAACCGGGGGAACUGAAACAUCUAAGUACCCCGAGGAAAAGAAAUCAA